RNAcentral lists this ribosomal RNA (501 nucleotides) under uncultured bacterium. RNAcentral describes it as "partial 16S ribosomal RNA". It matches the Rfam family "Bacterial small subunit ribosomal RNA", at positions 29 to 523 of the family's 1533-position model. The record is from RNAcentral.
AUUGAACGCUGGCGGCAUGCCUUACACAUGCAAGUCGAACGGCAGCACGGGUGCUUGCACCUGGUGGCGAGUGGCGAACGGGUGAGGAAUACAGCGGAACGUACCUUAUCGUGGGGGAUAACGCAGCGAAAGCUGUGCUAAUACCGCAUACGCCCUGAGGGGGAAAGCGGGGGAGAGAACGACCUCGCGCGAUUAGAGCGGCCGAUGACUGAUUAGCUUGUUGGUGGGGUAAAAGCCCACCAAGGCGACGGUCAGUAGCUGGUCUGAGAGGACGAUCAGCCACACUGGGACUGAGACACGGCCCAGACUCCUACGGGAGGCAGUAGUGGGGAAUUUUGGACAAUGGGGGCAACCCUGAUCCAGCAAUGCCGCGUGAGUGAAGAAGGCCUUCGGGUUGUAAAGCUCUUUUGUCAGGGAAGAAACACCGGCUCUAACACAGUCCGGGAAUGACGGUACCUGAAGAAUAAGCACCGGCUAACUACGUGCCAGCCGCCGCAGUAA